RNAcentral lists this unclassified non-coding RNA (201 nucleotides) under Hevea brasiliensis (rubber tree). Lineage: Eukaryota; Viridiplantae; Streptophyta; Magnoliopsida; Malpighiales; Euphorbiaceae. The record is from RNAcentral.
GUUGAUUUUACUUUUCUUGAUUGAUUCUUAAUCAGGAGAUUAUGCUGGUAUCGAAUUUGAAUAUUAACAUGAAUUUUCCAGAUUCCUCUUCUUCUUCAUUAAUCCUUCUUUUUUGGAUAUUUUUUUUCCUUUUGCAUAUCUGCAUAGUGUGUGUUUACAGAAUGUGCCCUCCAAAGGAGUCUAUACAUAAAAAGAAAGAAU